GGUACGUAGGAAAGGGAGGGGAAGGGAGAUGAGAUUGGGAGACGAGUGAGCCGAGAUCCUGUUUAUAUUCAAGUUCACAAAUUUGACAAGACUAUACAGGAUAAGCUGUGUUUAUGAUAUGAAGGAAAGGGAAGAGAAGGGAGAUGAGUAAGCUGAGAUCCUGUUUAUAUUCAAGUCCACAAAUUUGACAACACAAUACAGGAAAAGCUCUGUGUAUUUAGUGUGUCAUCGAAGACCGCGCCAUUUAGAACAGUAUGGGAUUCUAUAGCUUGGUUCGGGAGUGUUACAAAGACCAUGAUGGACUGUGGAAGCGGCCCUUAAUGUUCCCUUUUCUAAUAUGCUUCUCUGUUUUUGCAGGAUGCCGCGGACGGACCAUGCAGAGGACUCAUCGCGACGACACCAACGGUUUGGUUAAGUGGGUUCUCUUGUGUGUGCGUCUGUGUGUGAAUGGCAGGCCUGUCGUAUGAUUGUGUGUGUGUGUGCGUUGGCGGUAUGCCUUCGCACUAUUAUUUUGUUAGGAUGUAUUUUUUUGUGUGUGAACUUUUUGCACGUAAUCUUUUUUUAUACCCAUAGCUAGCGUUUGUUUGUGUGUUGCUGUGUUCCGGGAGAUGGGCGCCGGGGGACAUGGGCUGGGGAGGGCGCACGUGACCUCCUCUGUCCGUGACCUCUUCAGCUGGGGAGACCGCGUGUUGCCCCGGCUGGAGAGACACGUUGAUGGAGGCGGCUGCGUGUGUCGUCCCUUGCCUGUAUCCUCUGGCGUCCAGAGGCGCGUAAGUGGAGAGCAUCGGCGCAGCGCGGGAGCAGCACGUCAGGGUGUAGGGUGUUUGUUUAGCUGGUGUAGGGUGUUAGGGUGUUAGGGUGUUAGGUGUAACAACGGUUGGCUCUUUCACAGAACGGGUGUGAUUCCGUUCUGCGUUUGAGUCUUCCACCUUCAGACGGUCUCCCUCCGAGAUGUCUGAAGUUUUUUUGUCGGUUUUCUCCGUAGGAGGAAGCCGACUCUAGCUACUCUGGCCUCUCUUCCGGGGGUCAGAGCGGUCGGGCUCUGCUUGGCCAGGCGUUGCCUUUCGCGUUGUCUCCGCCGAAGUUUUGCCAGACUCUUCCGUAAGGUUGAGCCUGGCUUUUUUAUUAGGUGGAUCAGGCUGCCUUCUUCCAAGGAGUCUGAUGGGAGUGGAGUCUUUUUUUUGGUGUAUGUCUGUGGGUGCUU
Long non-coding RNA from Eriocheir sinensis (Chinese mitten crab), 1204 nucleotides. RefSeq lists it as uncharacterized. Lineage: Eukaryota; Metazoa; Arthropoda; Malacostraca; Decapoda; Varunidae. The transcript has 3 exons. The record is from RefSeq and is a predicted model, not a curated record.